AAUGAUCUAAAACAAGUUAUACCAUGGUCUGGGUGAAUACUCGAUUCUGAUUGGCUGCAGGGUGUCCGUUAAAAAGUGAUAGAGGACACCUAGUAAAGGAGUUCUGGUGAAACUGCCUGUUUACCGUUCGAAAUUAAUAAAUAAAUGCGCUGCCUACAACAGCUGUGAGUAACCAUAGCAACAGGCAGUCAAAGUAUC
Molecule: long non-coding RNA, 198 nt
Organism: Rhinichthys klamathensis goyatoka
Lineage: Eukaryota; Metazoa; Chordata; Actinopteri; Cypriniformes; Leuciscidae
Exons: 2
Source: RefSeq, a predicted model, not a curated record